UACGUAGGGUGCGAGCGUUAAUCGGAAUUACUGGGCGUAAAGCGUGCGCAGGCGGCUUUGCAAGACAGAUGUGAAAUCCCCGGGCUCAACCUGGGAACUGCAUUUGUGACUGCAAGGCUAGAGUACGGCAGAGGGGGAUGGAAUUCCGCGUGUAGCAGUGAAAUGCGUAGAUAUGCGGAGGAACACCAAUGGCGAAGGCAAUCCCCUGGGCCUGUACUGACGCGGAGGUGCGAAAGCGUGGGGAGCAAACAGG
This 253-nucleotide ribosomal RNA is filed under the name uncultured bacterium. RNAcentral describes it as "partial 16S ribosomal RNA". It matches the Rfam family "Bacterial small subunit ribosomal RNA", at positions 524 to 776 of the family's 1533-position model. The record is from RNAcentral.